GAAUUAAUGUCAGACACAAACAAAACGCACGUCCAGCUGGAAUUAAAAGGUCUUGGAGACCCCAAGAGUCUAGUUGAGGCGAGGAAGAGCAGAAGACAUGCUGAAUGACCAUUGCUGGUCUCAGGUCACCAACCAGUUGGAGCAGAGGUGAGA
This 153-nucleotide long non-coding RNA is filed under the name Mustela putorius furo (domestic ferret). Its description in RNAcentral is "lncRNA (ENSMPUG00000026584.1)". Lineage: Eukaryota; Metazoa; Chordata; Mammalia; Carnivora; Mustelidae. The record is from RNAcentral.